GACGAACGCUGGCGGCGUGCUUAACACAUGCAAGUCGAACGGAAAGACCCUGCUUUUGUGGGGUGCUCGAGUGGCGAACGGGUGAGUAACACGUGUGUAACCUCCCCUUGUCUUUGGGAUAACAUCAGGAAGCUGGGGCUAAUAUCGGAUAUGAGCUCUUGCUGCAUGGUGGGGGAUGGAAAGUUUCGGCUGUUGUGGAUGGACUCGCGGCUUAUCCGCUUCUUGGUGGGGUAGUGGCUUACCAAGGGUUCGACGGGUAGCCGGCCUGAGAGGGGGACCGGCCUCAUUGGGACUGAGAUACGGCGCAGACGCCUACGGGAGGCAGCAGUGGGGAAUAUUGCACAAUGAGGGGGAGCGUGAGGUAGCGACGCCGCGUGCGGGAAGACGGCCUUCGGGUUAUAAACCGCUUUCGCCGGUGACGAAGCGGGAGUGACGGUAAUGGGUAAAGAAGCACCGGCUAACUACGUG
RNAcentral lists this ribosomal RNA (468 nucleotides) under uncultured bacterium. RNAcentral's name for it is "partial 16S ribosomal RNA". It matches the Rfam family "Bacterial small subunit ribosomal RNA", at positions 28 to 507 of the family's 1533-position model. The record is from RNAcentral.